UACGUAGGGGGCAAGCGUUAUCCGGAUUUACUGGGUGUAAAGGGGGCGCAGACGGCAGCGCAAGCCAGGAGUGAAAGCCCGGGGCCCAACCCCGGGACUGCUCUUGGAACUGCGCGGCUGGAGUGCAGGAGGGGCAGGCGGAAUUCCUGGUGUAGCGGUGAAAUGCGUAGAUAUCAGGAGGAACACCGGUGGCGAAGGCGGCCUGCUGGACUGCGACUGACGUUGGGGCCCGAAAGCGUGGGGAGCAAACAGG
Molecule: ribosomal RNA, 253 nt
Filed under: uncultured bacterium
Lineage: Bacteria
Description: partial 16S ribosomal RNA
Rfam family: Bacterial small subunit ribosomal RNA
Source: RNAcentral